CAUCUACGGAGAGUUUGAUCCUGGCUCAGGACGAACGCUGGCGGCGUGCUUAACACAUGCAAGUCGAACGAUGAAGCCAGCUUGCUGGUGGAUUAGUGGCGAACGGGUGAGUAACACGUGGGCAACCUGCCCCCGGCUCUGGGAUAACUCCAAGAAAUUGGUGCUAAUACCGGAUAUUCUUCUUUCACCGCAUGGUGGUU
RNAcentral lists this ribosomal RNA (200 nucleotides) under Klenkia taihuensis. Its description in RNAcentral is "partial 16S rRNA. Bacterial SSU". It matches the Rfam family "Bacterial small subunit ribosomal RNA", at positions 1 to 198 of the family's 1533-position model. The record is from RNAcentral. Lineage: Bacteria; Bacillati; Actinomycetota; Actinomycetes; Geodermatophilales; Geodermatophilaceae.